Molecule: ribosomal RNA, 3351 nt
Filed under: Triticum aestivum (bread wheat)
Lineage: Eukaryota; Viridiplantae; Streptophyta; Magnoliopsida; Poales; Poaceae
Description: partial small subunit ribosomal RNA
Source: RNAcentral
AUGGGCGGCAAGACUAUUCAGGUGUCAGGGUUUCCUUCAACUGUCAAUGCUGACCAUGUCAAGGAUUUGUUGGAACAAAUUGUUGGUACUGGCAACGUCUUUGCGAUCAAGCUCAGGCCUCCAAAGAACAUCUCUGCAAACUCAAAAUCGUUUGCCAUUGUUCAGUUCCAGUCCGAGGCACAUGCUUCGCUGGUGUUGAAUGCGGCCCGACGGAAUGCACUAAGGACUGGAAGUAAUCAUCUGAAGGCCCGAUACGCAGAGCGUGACAUUGUUCCGAGACCAAGAACUACAAUUUUUAAUCUACAGGAUGCAACACUGCAUUUUGGCUGCCUUCUGAAGGAAAAAGUUCUAUCUGUUCUGUGGAGCGGAACAAAUGUUUCCGUUGAGUUUGGAUUUGCUAUGAAGAGGAUUGACUUUUGCCUGAUCUCCAACUCGAAGAAAUACAAACUUGAACUCUCCUACGAGAGCAUAUGGGAGAUCCAGCUUCAUCGUCCACCUGGGUUGCAAAAAAAGUUCCUUCUGAUUCAGGUUCAGGCUGCUCCGAAAAUUUACGAACAAAAUAUACGCCGCUCUGGUUCUAUGUACGACGAUCCUUUAUUCAACUAUUUUAGGGAUGAUACAGAUGACCAGUGGACCAGAACAACUGAUUUUACUCCAUUAGCCAGCAUUGGGCAAUCAUAUAUCCUAUGUCUGGAGCUACCACAUAUUUGUUAUCUCCCGAACAUCCGAGAGUACUUUGUUUACUAUGAAGUACACGAUGACGUCUUCCAUCUCCAGCGUGGAUAUUCAUAUUCAAGCAAUACUUGCUUUGUUCCAGUUGUGAAAUCUCAAUAUUUCACUGAUGUCCCCUAUGAGAUACUCUUUAAGAUCAACCACUUGGUUCAGAAUGGGACACUUAGUGGACCAACACUUGAUGACAACUUCUACCGUCUGGUCAGCCCAAGAUAUGAAUGUAUUGACCAUGUAAAGCGUGCACUUGAAAAGAUGUCAUACCUAAAAAAGACUUGUUUGAAUCCAACAAAGUGGUUAUCUGAACAAUACAAAAAACUUCAGAGAUCACGCUACGUGUUAAGAUUACCGAACAUAACUCUGGAUGAUGAUGGGUUGGUAUAUGUCUACAGGGUGCAAAUUACUCCUGCGAAAGUGUACUUUUAUGGUCCUGAGAUUAAUGUCUCGAAUCGUGUUGUACGGAAUUAUGCUGCUGAUUUGGAUAACUUCCUUCGGAUUUCGUUUGUUGAUGAGGACUGUGAGAAGCUUCGUUCAACUGAUUUAUCACAACGCUCUGCUCCAGGAAAUAAUACAAGGAGGACUGCUCUUUAUAACAGAGUUCUUUCAGUCCUUUCAAAUGGCAUUACUAUCGGUGACAAGCACUUUGACUUUCUGGCUUUUUCUUCAAGCCAGCUCCGAGAUAACUCUGCAUGGAUGUUUGCUUCUCGCCCGGGGUUAUCUGCCAGUGACAUCAGGGAGUGGAUGGGGAACUUCCGUAAUAUUAGAAAUGUGGCAAAGUAUGCUGCAAGGCUUGGUCAGUCUUUUAGUUCCUCAACAGAAACUUUGAAAGUGCAUAAGUAUGAGGUGAAAGAAGCUCCAGAUGUAACAAACGGUACAAAGUAUGUAUUCUCAGAUGGAAUUGGAACCAUUUCAGCUGAUUUUGCAGAUGAAGUGUCUAAGAAGUGCAACUUGACCCGCUUUACUCCCUCCGCUUUCCAAAUAAGGUAUGGAGGUUACAAAGGUGUUGUCGCUGUUGAUCCAACAUCACACUGGAAACUAUAUUUAAGAAAAAGCAUGUCAAAGUUUCAGUCAGAUAACAUCACACUAGAUGUUCUUGCAUACAGCAAGUACCAGCCAUGUUUCCUGAACCGGCAGUUAAUCACUCUUCUUUCGACACUCGGAGUCAGAGAUAGCAUAUUUGAACUGAAACAACAAGAAGCUGUGAAGCAGUUGAACAGAAUGGUAGCUGAACCACAAGCUGCUAUUGGUGCAAUUGAGCUUAUGCCCAUGGGAGAAAUUACCAACAUUGUUAAAGAGUUGUUGUUAUGUGGUUACCAGCCUGAUGUUGAACCAUUUGUUUCUAUGCUUCUACAAACAUUUAGAGCAUCCAAGCUGCUAGAAUUGAAAACGAGGUCAAGGAUAUUUGUCCCAAAAGGACGAGCAAUGAUGGGAUGCCUAGAUGAAACCCGCACACUGAAGUACGGACAGGUAUUCAUUCAAGCUUCUAAUAGUGCAAAUGACCGUGGAAAGUCCAUCGUAACUGGAAAAGUUAUCGUUGCGAAAAACCCUUGCAUCCACCCUGGUGAUAUCCGUAUUCUCCAGGCUGUUCAUAGUCCUCUUCUGGGCCACAUGGUUAACUGUGUUGUCUUUCCACAGCUGGGGCCAAGGCCUCAUCCUAAUGAAUGUUCAGGGAGUGAUCUGGAUGGGGACAUAUACUUUGUUUCAUGGGACCCAGAUCUCAUUCCAACUCGUAUGGUGGCGCCUAUGGACUAUACUCCUGCACCAACAGAAACAUUAGAUCAUGAUGUUAUGAUUGAGGAAGUACAUGAGUAUUUCACAAAUUACAUAGUUAACGAGAGUCUGGGAAUCAUUGCCAACGCGCACGUAGUCUUUGCGGAUAGGGAAAUCUUGAAGGCUGAAAGUACACCAUGCAUUAAGCUGGCAGAGCUCUUCUCCAUUGCUGUUGAUUAUCCAAAGACAGGAGUUCCGGCUCAAAUUCCGCCUGAACUACAUGUGAAGGAGUACCCAGAUUUCAUGGAGAAGCUCGACAGGGCUACCUAUGUAUCCGAGGGAGUAAUAGGGAAGCUCUACCGGGAAAUUAAGAAGCAGAACCCUCACAUUGGACACUUCACAAAGGAUGUGGCAAGGCGGUCUUAUGACGCUGAUUUGAUAGUUGAUGGCUACCAAGACUUCAUUACCGAAGCUGUGUGGUUCAAGGAACAGUAUGACUUCAAGUUGGGUAAUCUGAUGGAGCACUACGGAAUAAAUAGCGAGGCUGAGAUAAUAAGUGGAUGCAUCAUUAAGAUGGCAAAGAAUUUUACCAAGAAGAACGACGCCGAUGCUAUCAGACUGGCGGUGAAAUCUUUGCGGAAGGAAGCAAGGUCAUGGUUCAACGAGAUGGGUUCAGAUGAGAGCGGAGGUGGUCACGAGGCCUUGGACGCCAAGGCAUCCGCUUGGUAUCAUGUUACCUAUCACCCGGAGUACUGGGGUUGCUACAAUGAAGGAUAUGAUCACCGGCCACACUUCAUCAGUUUUCCGUGGUGUGUCUAUGACAAGCUGAUUCUCAUCAAGCAGCAGAAGAACUUUGUCAGGAAGAUGCUUGAUCUCGAGAACAGAAUGAGACGGAGCGCCAUAUUCGGGUGA